GGAUUUCACUCUGCAUGUCCUCUGCCUGAACAAAGAUCCACUCUAAACAGAUUCUACAUUCUCUCUGCAACUUUAAAAAGACCAGCCAGAUAAGAUAAACCACAUUAAAUUUUAAAUGAAGAUGAUAUUUAGAUACACGCCCUGCCCUGCUGUCCAUAUCCAUCUAUUUAUGAUCACAUUGUACUGUUGGCUCCUUCCAUCAUGCUACAAAGUUCAAAUAACCCAACAGGUUUGUUUUCACUUUACAAUAAGUUCCCUGCACACCACUGUUCUCCACAGUCACCAUAGAUGUGUAGUCAAUGCAUAAUGUAAUCAUGCCUAUGUGGACCAAAAUCUCUGAGGAAUGUUUCCAACACAAUUUUGAAUCCAUGGUGAAGAGAAAACCUGUUAACGUUUGGAGACAGAUUUCCUGCAGCCCUGGAGUUGAGUGGGCUGUCACUGGUAUACGUCCUUCCUAUAGGAAACUCAUCAUGAUUGGACACAAUGAGAUGUAUAUUUCUAUCACCCCCUGCUGUCCUCGCUGCACACAGAGGACUUAUUCUUGUCCUACAUGCCACCUGUAGGUUCACCGAUGACGCCUGUGGCAGAUGAUGCACACUCUGCUGUCGCGCUGUGACUAAUAGAUAUUGCUGUGAGGCGAGAGCAAGCUGCCCGUCUCCUUGAUUAGUAUCUCUCUCUCUCUUAAAAUCUCUCUAUUGAUCUUUUUUUCACGUCUUCUGCAGUAAAAGCUUUAAAUCUCGCUGAGGACGUGUUUGAGAGCAAAUCAUGAGUCAGAGAUCUAAUUGGAGUUUUUUUAGUGUGACACGGCAAAACUGAAAUCACGAAACAGGAGAAUGUGUCCUGACAUUAGCUCGCUUUGUGUAACGUCACCUCGACCUCUCUCCUCUACAGAGGCAGCAGGAGGAGACGGGCAGAGCGACCAGCAGGGUGACAUCAUCGCUAACCGUGGGAGCCUGGCCUGCUGGUUAUGCCAGCGGUGCGACUGCAUGUCACUUCCUGGGAGAAAAUGGAACAGGAAGCCAGAGAGAGAGAGAGAGCUGCUCUUGGGAAAGCUGUACAUAAUUUAGAAGAGCUCUCAGACUUGGACUGGACUCCUCCCAAUCAGAUGCCCCAGUGGACACACCUGUGUGCCCAUCAGCUCAGCUCCUGAGGUUGUCUGACCAACUGUCAGGCUUUCAGCUGAAUCUUCUCCCAGUCUGUUGGGAGGUGAGUAUUAGUUUAUUUGCACAAGUAAAAUGCUUUUUUUCUUCAUCUUAACUUUAUUCAUACAGACUGAAGGUUUCUUUAACUGCCUGUUUCUUUAAGCUGGUCAUGUUGCUCUGUUCUUGUUUAAUCAGUUUUUUCACACAAUACUUAAGGGGAAACUCCAUGAUCUCUGCUGUGCUCCCUGGAUCAGGUUGAUCUCCUGGCUGUAGCUGAGCUCACAGAAGGCCUUCUCUAAGAAGCUGGUUUCACGUGGUGGUUUAGAUGUUUGUUCCUGUUGUCUAGCACCAUAUGAAAUCAGUGUUCUUGGGGACAGAAGGAUCGCUCUGGCAGCAGGCAGGCAGCCCAGCGCUGGCCUCUCCCUCUAAGUCACCACUAAAAGAUAACUGAUUUCUUCUGGUGCUUAGAGCCAUCUGCAGCCUUCUAGCACCAUUUGAAAUCGGUUAUGACACUGUGGAUCACUACAUCUGAGGCUUAGCAACUCAUCUGGAGACGACUGGAGAGAAGCACUGUUAAAUGGAUUUGUGUUUUGACCCCUUUUUUUUCUUUUAAUGUGGCUGCAGUUCACAAUAUUUGCCACCAGGGGUGCCAGAAUUCAUAAAAAUACAGAUUGUCCCUAAAACCCAAAUGUCAUUGUGCCUGUUUGUAUAUGAUAAUGAAAUUCUGACGGUGACGGCUGUUUCAAAAAUUAAAACCGACUGGGGGACAGUGGAACUGUUCUGGAGUUCCAGUUACCAAGAUUGAGCAAUUGGAGACCAGAAUAUAUUAAAUUAAUUUUAUUCACAUUUUAAUGCAUUGUUGGCUCCAGUCAGGAUUAAGAGAGUGGAAGAACUUUGAAUGUAAUAUCAAACUGACCUGGAAAGAGUUGCUUCACAAAAUCCUAACACUGUAAGAAAACAAUGAACCGCCUAUCAGUGAAUGCAGUUCAAACACAUUCAUUAAUAAUGGAGCAUCCUGGACUAGGACUGAAAUGAUUCAUCAGGUCCAUCUAUUACUAAAAUAAUUGUCAACAAAUUUACUUAACAAUUAAUCACUAACUGGAGUAAAAAUACCUCUCAAAUAUGCCAUUUGCUGAAAGAACAGUAAAAGCAGUAAAAAGGGUAAAAACAGCAACAAAAAAAAUAACGUACAUUUACAUUUAGGAUAAAAAUGUAAAUCUGUUUUAUCUUGAAGUGGGAUAAUUUUAGCUUUACCUGGUUAAAAAGCCCAUAUUAAGCAAUUUUUACUAUCCAAUUAUUAAGUGUAUGAUCCAAAACUACUCACCAGAUCUGCUCUACUGCAUUGUUGUUCACUACAGAUGCUUUCUGUACAAAUGACCAAGCAUUCACUAAGCAAGUGUUAUUGUAAUAAAAUGUUAAUUUUCCUUACUUAAAAAUGAAAUUAACUGUUUAUUUGCAACUUUCAAUGUAUUUCUAAUAUUGUACAUUAAGAAUGAAGUUUGGCCUGCAAUGGGUCAGUGUGUCUGUGUGUUUGAAAUAAAUCACAAAUAUUACUCAUAAAACUUAUUAAAAACUAAGGCUGAAAGUAUUACAAAAUCUAUGCUGUUUAUGUUUUUUUUCCUAUAAUGUUGACUUUUUUUAUAGCCAUGCUUUUAUUACCUGAACUGCGAUGCUCAUUCCCAUUCAUUGUUUGUUCACCUAAAGUAACUGAAGUAGGCAGUGUGAAGAAAACAAGAGAAUUAAAACAUUUCCUCCUCUG
Molecule: long non-coding RNA, 2901 nt
Organism: Xiphophorus couchianus (Monterrey platyfish)
Lineage: Eukaryota; Metazoa; Chordata; Actinopteri; Cyprinodontiformes; Poeciliidae
Exons: 2
Source: RefSeq, a predicted model, not a curated record